Molecule: ribosomal RNA, 788 nt
Filed under: uncultured Neocallimastigales
Lineage: Eukaryota; Fungi; Neocallimastigomycota; Neocallimastigomycetes; Neocallimastigales
Description: partial large subunit ribosomal RNA
Rfam family: Eukaryotic large subunit ribosomal RNA
Source: RNAcentral
ACACUGACGUCGCGACGCAUAUCAAUAAGCGGAGGAAAAGAAACUAACAUAGGAUUCCCUUAGUAACGGCGAGUGAAGCGGGAAGAGCUCAAAUUUGAAAUCUUCAAGGUUCUACCUUGACGAAUUGUAGUUUAAAGAAGUGUUUUCUGUUGGAGUUUUGGUAAAAGUUCUUUGGAAUAGGACAUCAUAGAGGGGUGAGAAUCCCGUAUUUGACCAUUAUUUCCAGCUUUGUGAUACACUUUUAAAGAGUCGGAUUGUUUGGGAAUGCAGUCCAAAAUGGGUGGUAAAUUUCAUCUAAAGCUAAAUAUUGGCGAGAGACCGAUAGCGAACAAGUACCGUGAGGGAAAGAUGAAAAGAACUUUGAAAAGAGAGUUAAACAGUACGUGAAAUUGUCAAAAGGGAAGCGUUUGACACCAGUGUUGUUUUUCUCGAAAAUCAAUUAUAAUCAUGGCAGAUUUGUAAGUUGUAUUGACUUUAUCAGGCUUUCUGCUAGCUUUUUCUUGUCUUGUUGAAUGCACUUUUCGGUUAACAAGUCAACAUCAAUUUCUUUUGUUGUAAAAGAGUCAAUUGGAAGGUGGCUUUCAGCUUCGGUUAAAGUGUUUAUAGCCUUUGACUUCUGCAGUCGGAGAGAUUGAGGUCUGCAGCGUAGACUCCUUUCGGGUUAGAUACAUUUGUGCUAGGUUAUAGCUUUUCAUAGACAACAUUGUUGACUAUGAUUUAGUCUUGUAGCUUACUCGCAGUAUGUCUAUUUUACCUACGCUUAGGAUGUUGACGCGCGUGUGUGCGUG